GCCUUAACCAACAAUGCAGUUUUAAGAAAAACAAGUGUUCAAAAAUUCUAAAUGAAACUAACAACUAAUUAAAGAGCAGCAGUAAAAUAACAGUAGCGAGACUAUAUACAGGGUGUUACGGUACAGAGUCAAUGUGGAGGCUAUAUACAGGGUGUUACGGUACAGAGUCAAUGUGUAGACUACAUACAGGGGGUACCGGUACAGAGUCAAUGUGGAGACUAUAUACAGGGUGUUACGGUACGGAGUCAAUGUGGAGACUAUAUACAGGGUGUUACGGUACAGAGUCAAUGUGGAGGCUAUAUACAGGGUGUUACGGUACAGAGUCAAUGUGGAGGCUAUAUACAGGGGGUACUGGUACAGAGUCAAUGUGGAGACUAUAUACAGGGUGUUACGGUACGAAGUCAAUGUGGGGACUAUAUACAGGGUGUUACGGUACAGAGUCAAUGUGGAGGCUAUAUACAGGGUGUUACGGAACGGAGUCAAUGUGGAGGCUAUAUACAGGGUGUUAUGGUAUGGAGUCAAUGUGGAGACUAUAUACAGGGUGUUACGGUACAGAGUCAAUGUGGAGACUAUAUACAGGGGGUACCGGUACAGAGUCAAUGCGGAGGCUAUAUACAGGGGGUAUAGAGUCAAUGUGGAGACUGUAUACAGGAAGUACCGGUACAGAGUCAAUGUGGAGGCUAUAUACAGAGUGUUACGAUACAGAGUCAAUGUGGAGGCUAUAUACAGGGGGUACCAGUACAGAGUCAAUGUGGAGACUAUAU
RNAcentral lists this long non-coding RNA (764 nucleotides) under Salmo salar (Atlantic salmon). Its description in RNAcentral is "lncRNA (ENSSSAG00000095253.1)". The record is from RNAcentral. Lineage: Eukaryota; Metazoa; Chordata; Actinopteri; Salmoniformes; Salmonidae.